AGAGUUUGAUCAUGGCUCAGAUUGAACGCUGGCGGCAUGCCUUACACAUGCAAGUCGAACGGCAGCACGGGGGCAACCCUGGUGGCGAGUGGCGAACGGGUGAGUAAUACAUCGGAACGUGUCCUGUAGUGGGGGGAUAGCCCGGCGAAAGCCGGAUUAAUACCGUAUACGCUCUACGGAGGAAAGGGGGGGAUCUUCGGACCUCUCGCUACAGGGGCGGCCGAUGGCAGAUUAGCUAGUUGGUGGGGUAAAGGCCUACCAAGGCGACGAUCUGUAGCUGGUCUGAGAGGACGACCAGCCACACUGGGACUGAGACACGGCCCAGACUCCUACGGGAGGCAGCAGUGGGGAAUUUUGGACAAUGGGCGCAAGCCUGAUCCAGCAAUGCCGCGUGUGUGAAGAAGGCCUUCGGGUUGUAAAGCACUUUUGUCCGGAAAGAAAACGUCGUGGUUAAUACCCGUGGCGGAUGACGGUACCGGAAGAAUAAGCACCGGCUAACUACGUGCCAGCAGCCGCGGUAAUACGUAGGGUGCAAGCGUUAAUCGGAAUUACUGGGCGUAAAGCGUGCGCAGGCGGUCCGCUAAGACAGAUGUGAAAUCCCCGGGCUUAACCUGGGAACUGCAUUUGUGACUGGCGGGCUAGAGUAUGGCAGAGGGGGGUAGAAUUCCACGUGUAGCAGUGAAAUGCGUAGAGAUGUGGAGGAAUACCGAUGGCGAAGGCAGCCCCCUGGGCCAAUACUGACGCUCAUGCACGAAAGCGUGGGGAGCAAACAGGAUUAGAUACCCUUGUAGUCC
This 794-nucleotide ribosomal RNA is filed under the name uncultured bacterium. RNAcentral's name for it is "bacterial SSU rRNA". It matches the Rfam family "Bacterial small subunit ribosomal RNA", at positions 8 to 796 of the family's 1533-position model. The record is from RNAcentral.